This 379-nucleotide ribosomal RNA is filed under the name uncultured bacterium. Its description in RNAcentral is "bacterial SSU rRNA". It matches the Rfam family "Bacterial small subunit ribosomal RNA", at positions 790 to 1167 of the family's 1533-position model. The record is from RNAcentral.
GUAGUCCACGCCCUAAACGAUGUCGACUGGUUGUUGGGAGAGGCAACUUUCUUAGUAACGAAGCUAACGCGUGAAGUCGACCGCCUGGGGAGUACGGCCGCAAGGUUAAAACUCAAAGGAAUUGACGGGGACCCGCACAAGCGGUGGAUGAUGUGGAUCAAUUCGAUGCAACGCGAAAAACCUUACCUACCCUUGACAUGUGCGGAAGCCUGGUGAGAGCUGGGUGUGCCCGAAAGGGAGCCGCAACACAGGUGCUGCAUGGCUGUCGUCAGCUCGUGUCGUGAGAUGUUGGGUUAAGUCCCGCAACGAGCGCAACCCUUGUCACUAAUUGCCAGCAUUCAGUUGGGCACUUUAGUGAGACUGCCGGUGACAAACCGGA